RNAcentral lists this unclassified non-coding RNA (360 nucleotides) under soil metagenome. Its description in RNAcentral is "partial contains 5.8S ribosomal RNA, internal transcribed spacer 2, and large subunit ribosomal RNA". The stretch from base 1 to 120 matches the Rfam family "5.8S ribosomal RNA", at positions 35 to 154 of the family's 154-position model. The record is from RNAcentral.
GAUGAAGAACGCAGCGAAAUGCGACAAGUAAUGCGAAUUGCAGAAUUCAGUGAAUCAUCGAAUCUUUGAACGCACAUUGCGCCCGCCAGUAUUCUGGCGGGCAUGCCUGUCUGAGCGUCGUUUCGACCCUCGCGCCCGGCUUCUGUCGGGGGCGGUGUUGGGGAUCGGCCACACCCUUCAGUGGGAGGCCGGCCCCUAAAUUCAGUGGCGACCACGCUGUAGCCUCCCCUGCGUAGUACUAAAACCACCUCGCAGGCGGAGAGCGGUGCGGCCCGCCGUAAAACCCCCCAACUUUUACAAGGUCGACCUCAGAUCAGGUAGGAAUACCCGCUGAACUUAAGCAUAUCAAUAAGCGGAGGA